AUAAGCAAAAGCUCCUUUAAAUUUCGUCAUUUUUUUUAUACACAUCCCGUUUAUUUUGUAGUUAAUUGUUAGAUAAGUUAGUAAUUUCGUAAAUUUUUCGUUACAGGGUAAGAUUUCGUUACCAUAUACAGUAAAUAUUGGUUCAAGAGGGCAGUUUGAUAACUCAGUCGAGGUUUGUAAAUGGUAAAUAACUUAUUCGAGGUUUGUAGCCAUAUUUAAGUAACUCGCUUACUUUGUUUCAGUGUUUGAGUAAAUGUAUAAUGUUAUUAAGUAAUAAUUAAUAUAAGUUACUGCGCGAGCUCAUUACGGCCGUUUCUCAAUCCGAAGGCUACUGGAGGUGGCAUUUGUAGGCUGUAUACGUCAUCAAGACUGUCAGAUUUAAGAAUAUUAACAAUUAUAAAGCUGACUAUUAUUCUUAGUUAAUUGUAAAUUGUUGUAAUAUGCGUAUGACUUGCGAAUGUAAUGCUCAUUUAACUUAAAUAAACCAGGCUUGAUGACGUAUGCAGCCUGCAUAUGCGACCUCCGCAGGAUGCAGCCUUCCGUUUCAGAAACGGCCUACAAGUGUGAGCGUGCGCGAGAUUCUGUCUGAAUUGAUUCUUUAGUAAUGGCAAAGCAAAAAUUUACUGUCGUGGUGAUUAAACGCAUUUUAAAGUUUAAAUUAAAACGCCUAACUUACCUUUCCAGGGGUUUCUGUUCCUGCAGUCUUUCAGGGGUGCUGGCGCGUAUGACGAUGCGGACAUGAACAGCAUACUACAGUAUACCGCCACCUACUGUACUGUAGUACAAUAACGUCUUUUAAACAUCUAAACAUGUCCUCCAAAAAGGAAAAAGGAAAAAACAUUGGAAAACAAUUUUAGCCUAAGGUUUGAGAAUAAAGCCAAUGGUCCUCUAUUAAGGCUAACUGUAUAUUGCCUUUGAGGACUGCAAGCUGAACUUACAGAUUUAUAUGGACUUUACUUACAGGUUUCCUGUGCUGUUUUGCUCCAUUUUACUGAACAAAAUAAGGCUGAGGUAGCACCAUCCUUGUGGUUAGAGUGAAAGAAUGUGGGUAUUGAGACCAAAAUAAACAAUGUGCCAUUCUGGACAAACAGCUGUGGACAAUAUGCAGUCAGAGUAGCCCAUUUUCUCACACAGACCUGAAGAUAAGAUUUCCAGUUUAAAAGUGAAGAAAAUGAAUCAUUAUUAACAGCAAAUAGGAGUAUUUCUCAGCUGAAAAGCCAGGUGAAACUAUAAGGUCACUAUGAUUCACUUUCAUAUUAUCAUUCUUUUCAGAUUUUUUUCCCUGUGUUUUUUUGUUAGAUGAGGAGCAACCAGUAAGAAAAAGCAAAAAGAUGUUUUGAUGUUGCCUGAGGCACCUUAUUUUCCAUUUCAUGCACAAUCACAAAUGCAGCACAUCAAUCAAUUUCUUCCAACCAGCGAAUCAAGAAAUCUUGGAGUGGAGAAUCAUUCUGAAAGUAGACCAAAUCCAGGACAACAUCACAACAGUGGUCGGAAAAAUGCAGCAAGCCAAGCUGACUUUCAAAAGAUGAUUCGUUAUCUGUUUCUUCAGAGGGGAGGCAGUUUGGGAGAUGGGAAUUAGGAGGAUGCUACAGUUACACAGGGCAAAUUUCAGCAGCUCAGUUUCAAACUUGCAACUAACAUUGAGUUAAAGUUAGAAGACCACGGAAAUAUUUGACAUGGGAGUCCAGCAGACAGCCAGAGACACGCACACACACGCAGCUGAAGCGCGUUUGACUGACGCGUACGGGAGAUCCGGCACGCGCACGGGAGCUCGCGCACGCUCACACAAACACGGAGCACAGGAUAAUUACAACUGUUUAAUUAAAAUAAAAGAACUUUGUGGUAUACAAUGUUUAGCGUGUCUGAUUUCAUUGGUUAGCAAGGAAAUAAAACGACGUGCUGAGGACUUUAGGCGAACGUCCCCUAAAAGUCCCGAAAGUCCGCUGACCGUCCCGCGAACGUCCUCGCAAAAGUCCGGAGGACGUCCUCGCGGAAGUCCGCUCGACGUAACGGGAACCAUACACGAUGACGUUCGGGGGACGUUCGCCUAAAGUGCUUAGCAUGUUAUUUAGCUUACAAAAAAGGUCCCCAUGA
Paramisgurnus dabryanus is the source of this 2094-nucleotide non-coding RNA. NCBI's taxonomy places the organism in Eukaryota, Metazoa, Chordata, Actinopteri, Cypriniformes, Cobitidae. The record is from RefSeq and is a predicted model, not a curated record.